AGUGAACGCUGGCGGUAGGCCUAACACAUGCAAGUCGAACGGCAGCACAGUAAGAGCUUGCUCUUACGGGUGGCGAGUGGCGGACGGGUGAGGAAUACAUCGGAAUCUACUUUUUCGUGGGGGAUAACGUAGGGAAACUUACGCUAAUACCGCAUACGACCUACGGGUGAAAGCAGGGGAUCUUCGGACCUUGCGCGAUUGAAUGAGCCGAUGUCGGAUUAGCUAGUUGGCGGGGUAAAGGCCCACCAAGGCGACGAUCCGUAGCUGGUCUGAGAGGAUGAUCAGCAACACGGAACUGAGACACGGUCCAGACUCCUACGGGAGGCAGCAGUGGGGAAUAUUGGACAAUGGGCGCAAGCCUGAUCCAGCCAUACCGCGUGGGUGAAGAAGGCCUUCGGGUUGUAAAGCCCUUUUGUUGGGAAAGAAAAGCAGCAGGUUAAUACCCCGCUGUUCUGACGGUACCCAAAGAAUAAGCACCGGCUAACUUCGUG
Molecule: ribosomal RNA, 491 nt
Filed under: uncultured bacterium
Lineage: Bacteria
Description: partial 16S ribosomal RNA
Rfam family: Bacterial small subunit ribosomal RNA
Source: RNAcentral